RNAcentral lists this ribosomal RNA (579 nucleotides) under Shigella sonnei. RNAcentral's name for it is "partial 23S ribosomal RNA". It matches the Rfam family "Bacterial large subunit ribosomal RNA", at positions 474 to 1053 of the family's 2925-position model. The record is from RNAcentral. Lineage: Bacteria; Pseudomonadati; Pseudomonadota; Gammaproteobacteria; Enterobacterales; Enterobacteriaceae.
UCCUGACUGACCGAUAGUGAACCAGUACCGUGAGGGAAAGGCGAAAAGAACCCCGGCGAGGGGAGUGAAAAAGAACCUGAAACCGUGUACGUACAAGCAGUGGGAGCACGCUUAGGCGUGUGACUGCGUACCUUUUGUAUAAUGGGUCAGCGACUUAUAUUCUGUAGCAAGGUUAACCGAAUAGGGGAGCCGAAGGGAAACCGAGUCUUAACUGGGCGUUAAGUUGCAGGGUAUAGACCCGAAACCCGGUGAUCUAGCCAUGGGCAGGUUGAAGGUUGGGUAACACUAACUGGAGGACCGAACCGACUAAUGUUGAAAAAUUAGCGGAUGACUUGUGGCUGGGGGUGAAAGGCCAAUCAAACCGGGAGAUAGCUGGUUCUCCCCGAAAGCUAUUUAGGUAGCGCCUCGUGAAUUCAUCUCCGGGGGUAGAGCACUGUUUCGGCAAGGGGGUCAUCCCGACUUACCAACCCGAUGCAAACUGCGAAUACCGGAGAAUGUUAUCACGGGAGACACACGGCGGGUGCUAACGUCCGUCGUGAAGAGGGAAACAACCCAGACCGCCAGCUAAGGUCCCAAAGU